AAACUUAGACUAAUACAUACUCAAAUUAACACCCUACAUGUUUCUCACGUUCAAUAUUUGGUACAAGCCAAAUAGGUAAACUACAAUCUAAAAACGCACGAGAAAAACCGCAUGACAAAGGAAUAAGCCAAAUAAGUUGACUACAAUCUAAAAAACGCACGAGAAGAGUAUCGAUUAUCCCGUGUCUAAAUUUAAUUCCGGUUUUUCGCUAUCAAAACAAUUCAAGAGGAGUUAUUAUUCU
Molecule: small RNA, 241 nt
Filed under: Arabidopsis thaliana (thale cress)
Lineage: Eukaryota; Viridiplantae; Streptophyta; Magnoliopsida; Brassicales; Brassicaceae
Description: ATSL293620
Source: RNAcentral